RNAcentral lists this ribosomal RNA (1050 nucleotides) under Vreelandella lionensis. RNAcentral describes it as "bacterial SSU rRNA". It matches the Rfam family "Bacterial small subunit ribosomal RNA", at positions 29 to 1080 of the family's 1533-position model. Lineage: Bacteria; Pseudomonadati; Pseudomonadota; Gammaproteobacteria; Oceanospirillales; Halomonadaceae. The record is from RNAcentral.
AUAAUCGCGGCGGCAGGCUACCAUGCAGUCGAGCGGUAGCACAGAGAAGCUUGCUUCUUGGGUGACGAGCGGCGGACGGGUGAGUAAUGCAUAGGAAUCUGCCCGAUAGUGGGGGAUAACCUGGGGAAACCCAGGCUAAUACCGCAUACGUCCUACGGGAGAAAGGGGGCUCCGGCUCCCGCUAUGGGAUGAGCCUAUGUCGGAUUAGCUAGUUGGUGAGGUAACGGCUCACCAAGGCAACGAUCCGUAGCUGGUCUGAGAGGAUGAUCAGCCACAUCGGGACUGAGACACGGCCCGAACUCCUACGGGAGGCAGCAGUGGGGAAUAUUGGACAAUGGGCGCAAGCCUGAUCCAGCCAUGCCGCGUGUGUGAAGAAGGCCCUCGGGUUGUAAAGCACUUUCAGCGAGGAAGAACGCCUAGCGGUUAAUACCCGCUAGGAAAGACAUCACUCGCAGAAGAAGCACCGGCUAACUCCGUGCCAGCAGCCGCGGUAAUACGGAGGGUGCAAGCGUUAAUCGGAAUUACUGGGCGUAAAGCGCGCGUAGGUGGCUUGAUAAGCCGGUUGUGAAAGCCCCGGGCUCAACCUGGGAACGGCAUCCGGAACUGUCAAGCUAGAGUGCAGGAGAGGAAGGUAGAAUUCCCGGUGUAGCGGUGAAAUGCGUAGAGAUCGGGAGGAAUACCAGUGGCGAAGGCGGCCUUCUGGACUGACACUGACACUGAGGUGCGAAAGCGUGGGUAGCAAACAGGAUUAGAUACCCUGGUAGUCCACGCCGUAAACGAUGUCGACCAGCCGUUGGGUGCCUAGCGCACUUUGUGGCGAAGUUAACGCGAUAAGUCGACCGCCUGGGGAGUACGGCCGCAAGGUUAAAACUCAAAUGAAUUGACGGGGGCCCGCACAAGCGGUGGAGCAUGUGGUUUAAUUCGAUGCAACGCGAAGAACCUUACCUACUCUUGACAUCCUGCGAAUUCGGUAGAGAUACCUUAGUGCCUUCGGGAACGCAGAGACAGGUGCUGCAUGGCUGUCGUCAGCUCGUGUGUGAAAUGUUGGGG